Molecule: ribosomal RNA, 729 nt
Filed under: Bacillus amyloliquefaciens
Lineage: Bacteria; Bacillati; Bacillota; Bacilli; Caryophanales; Bacillaceae
Description: bacterial SSU rRNA
Rfam family: Bacterial small subunit ribosomal RNA
Source: RNAcentral
GAAGAUGGUGCUAUACAUUCAAGUCGAGCGGACAGAUGGGAGCUUGCUCCCUGAUGUUAGCGGCGGACGGGUGAGUAACACGUGGGUAACCUGCCUGUAAGACUGGGAUAACUCCGGGAAACCGGGGCUAAUACCGGAUGGUUGUCUGAACCGCAUGGUUCAGACAUAAAAGGUGGCUUCGGCUACCACUUACAGAUGGACCCGCGGCGCAUUAGCUAGUUGGUGAGGUAACGGCUCACCAAGGCGACGAUGCGUAGCCGACCUGAGAGGGUGAUCGGCCACACUGGGACUGAGACACGGCCCAGACUCCUACGGGAGGCAGCAGUAGGGAAUCUUCCGCAAUGGACGAAAGUCUGACGGAGCAACGCCGCGUGAGUGAUGAAGGUUUUCGGAUCGUAAAGCUCUGUUGUUAGGGAAGAACAAGUGCCGUUCAAAUAGGGCGGCACCUUGACGGUACCUAACCAGAAAGCCACGGCUAACUACGUGCCAGCAGCCGCGGUAAUACGUAGGUGGCAAGCGUUGUCCGGAAUUAUUGGGCGUAAAGGGCUCGCAGGCGGUUUCUUAAGUCUGAUGUGAAAGCCCCCGGCUCAACCGGGGAGGGUCAUUGGAAACUGGGGAACUUGAGUGCAGAAGAGGAGAGUGGAAUUCCACGUGUAGCGGUGAAAUGCGUAGAGAUGUGGAGGAACACCAGUGGCGAAGGCGACUCUCUGGUCUGUAACUGACGCUGAG